Molecule: ribosomal RNA, 440 nt
Filed under: uncultured bacterium
Lineage: Bacteria
Description: partial 16S ribosomal RNA
Rfam family: Bacterial small subunit ribosomal RNA
Source: RNAcentral
CCUACGGGUGGCAGCAGUAGGGAAUAUUGCUCAAUGGGGGAAACCCUGAAGCAGCAACGCCGCGUGGAGGAUGAAGGUUUUAGGAUUGUAAACUCCUUUUGUGAGAGAAGAUAAUGACGGUAUCUCACGAAUAAGCACCGGCUAAAUCCGUGCCAGCAGCCGCGGUAAUACGGUGGGUGCAAGCGUUACUCGGGAUCACUUGGCGUAAAGAUUGCGCAGGUGGGCUUGUAAGUCCCAUGUGAAAACCUGUAGCCUAACUACAGGACUGCAUUUGAAACUAUGAGUCUAGAGUGUGGGAGAGGUAGGUGGAAUUCUAGGUGUAGGGGUGAAAUGCGUAGAUAUCAAGAAGAAUACUCAUUGCGAAGGCGACCUACUGGAACAUUACUGACGCUGAUGCACGAAAGUGUGGGUAUCAAACAGGAUUAGAUACCCUAGUAGUC